RNAcentral lists this long non-coding RNA (3113 nucleotides) under Gallus gallus (chicken). RNAcentral's name for it is "long non-coding RNA NONGGAT007813". The record is from RNAcentral. Lineage: Eukaryota; Metazoa; Chordata; Aves; Galliformes; Phasianidae.
CCAGAAAAAAAUACAAAACAACGACUGAGUUUAUCAUAGAGACAACACUUGCACACAGACAAAGUAAGUGGAAAAUCAUAGACCUGCAAGUUGAAUAAAUAGGGCUUGUUCAUAUAAAACAAGUUCCUCUCUAUCUUGCUCACCUACUUCAGGGCCUCUGGCCCAUGCUCAGAAAAAUAAAAGCAGGAGGAGGAGUUUGGCUUUGUGUGAUGGUUAAACUGGGACCACAGAGCUUCAGUGGAAAGCUGAGGUCUGAAGCAUCCAUUUGCUUCAGCUGAAACACUCAGAAGGAGUAGCAGAAAGAGGAAACAGCAAGCGGCUUCUUCCGGCUGCAACAUUAAUUGGAAGUACAGACCCUGUCCAGCCCUGCCGAGAUGGAGGCAUCCAGCUUCAUAGCUCGCAAGCCUCUUGUCACUGAAGCAGUCGCACCCUUUCAGGACAUGCAUUAUCUCCACCGACACUGUCCAAGGGGUAAUGUUUUGGGUCAAGAUCAUUACUUCUCCUGGGAUGGUGCCCGGCACGAGGGAGUCUCUGGAAGGUCCCUGUGCAGGAGCAAGCUCACCUCUGUGAAAAUGGCCCUCAGAUCCAUCUCCAGACAGGGAGACAAAGAGGAUCCAGCAAAGCACAAUAUGUGUAGAACUCAUCCCACUGCAGGCCGUGGUCUUGGAGAUGGCUGUGCGACCAGAGCUGAGGGGCUGGGCUGGGUGAGGGCUCCCCAGGGGCAGGAGCCUGGCCCUCUUCCACUUUCACUUGUGGCUCGGAGAGGACCUCGCACCAGGUGAAAAGGCUCCGCAAAAGAAAGGGGAGGUUGGGCCAUGCCAUGGAGCUCCCUUCACCCACCCAACCACUGUGUGGCUUGGGCUGAGGGAGGAAAGGCUGAGCCUCUGCAUCUAUUUUAUACACAAAACAUACCAAAGGAAUAGUUACGACAUCUUCUAUGAACAAGGUGGGACAAAUCCAGCCUAAGCAAAAGCAGGAGCCAUUUCGCUGCCUUCGGUGGAGAGCACAGCUGGACCUGGUCCCCAGAGAGCACACAAACAGCACAACCCACCCAACCAAAUCUGCAAUAAACAGCCUCACUCCACGAACACUAGCGACUAGCUAUUCCAGUUCAUCAAUGUACAGCAAGAAAGUGUUUCUGAAACUUCUGAGCCUUACUGAAAAGAUAGUUAGCACAAGGCUGGUUCAGCUCAAUUUGCACAGGUUGGCCAAAGGGAGAGAUCUGCUCUGAUCCGCGCCCAGGCGGCAGCCUGGAGAUCCCGCGUAGCGAUGGAGGCUAAUCUUACACUUGCAUCUCUAUACAAAAGUUACAAAAUCAAAUGGUGACAUUAUAUUACAACUAUUGUCCAUAAUAUCACAGUGCUAGUUUUAAAUGGCUAAAAACAAUAAAGGUUUUAGAUUUAAGACACCCCUUCUGGAGAAAUGUAACCCCUUGGUCCUGCUGUUGAUACCUGAAAGCAGCCUUGCUUAACAAAGGUAAAUCCAAUGAGAUGUGCUAAUUGAAACUAGGAACAUUUUUCCUUUGUAAUCUCAAAUCUGUGGUGCAUUUCCUAACACGUCCCUUUGUUUCCCACAGACAAACUAAACAAAUAAUAUGAAUCUCAGCCUGAAAGUCAAAAUGUUGAAAAGAACAGUUCUAAAGCCCAUACACUUCCUACCAGGUACUAACUAAAUAAAACCCUUGCAAAUUUAAAUACAGAUUAGUUUGAUAUAUCUUCAGAGUGUUAGCUUGUCAACAACAUUCACAAUGAAGUUUCACUUCUGAGGCCAUGGAAUUCCUACUCAUCCUUUUCAGUUCUGCUUUCAAGAGUAUCUGUGCUGUCUUCCACUUCUGGAGCUGGAUGCACUAAAGUAUCUGCAAAGAAAUGGUUUGUCAGUAUUGAUUCCCCCAUACUGUACAACAGCCUUCAUGUGACUCCCUGCUCCAUGAGGCAGAUGAUCUGCUGGGCACUCAGCCUUGAAAUUGGUAAUUUGUUGUACUUGCAAACCAAUAGUUAAACCUGGAGUAAUGUACUCUGAGUGCAUCGCCGCCUGACUUCACAGGGGAAUUCAGACCUUGGGAUGGGUAUUAAUGAGAUGAGGUGACGACCCUUUUCAUUAAAAGCAAGAGAGCCACCAAAGUGGGAGGGCUGCCUGCUGUCUAAGUGCUCAAAUGUUUCCUCCUGAAGACGUAGCAAGUCCUAAUGUCACUGCACAAAAACAACACAGAGGCCAUCAUGCGCCUGUGGUCCAAGCCAUAGAUUGGCUCCUGUUUCUUCUUGAAUGAUACAACCCCGUGGUUGCCUCUGCUAAGGAAUGUUGGCUGGUACAGUAGGUGAUGUGACACUGCAGAAUCAGACCUUGUGUCAUUGCCCCUCUGAAGGCAUGGGAAGGUGCAUCCUGCACCCCAUCCUAGCUGCUGUCUCUGGGCAUUCGUGGGGCUAAUGUUGUUGCAUGGAAAUGGAAACCGUGUCACUCGUUAAGGGGAAAUGAGAACACUGAGAUGGAAAAAAAGCCACCAGAAAUAGAGUGCAAACUACACUAACAAGGUCUUAUCUUUAGGCAUAUUUAGCCCACAGUGACCCUAUUAUCGUAUCUACAUAUUUGUGAGCUCCUGUUACACUAAUGCACUCCUGGGACACCAUGACGCUUUGAAAGCAUGCAGCUGUUAAAUACUCUACUUCUAGGCUAAGAGACAGGGAGAUAGAGAUACGCUAUUGAGCAGGGUUAUUGUUUCCUAGAGUGAACUGCUUGCAGGCCCUGUGAGUGGCCAGCUCUGAACCUGAUGGAAACACCUCAAAUGCCUCAAGGACUCGGUCAGUUCACAGGGCACCCCUCCAUGCGCAGGUGUUUCUGUGCACCCACUGUUAUCUGGUUCUCUGCUGAGCCUGAAACUGCCCUUUUCCUAUGGGGAGCAAGGAUCAAACUGCUCGUUCAGACCUUCCAGAUCCAUCUGCUGCUGCUGCUGAACGCAGACUCUUUGGUCACCGUGAAGACCCUUGUCCUCUGCUGAUUUCAGGUCAUCGGGAGGCCAGCGCAGCUCCCCGCUCUCCACCUCGCCGGACUCAGUUGGCUCCACCACAAUCGAUGGCAGUCUCUUGGACAGCUUGGGGUACUUCUCACGUGAGUCUGGG